This 468-nucleotide ribosomal RNA is filed under the name uncultured bacterium. Its description in RNAcentral is "partial 16S ribosomal RNA". It matches the Rfam family "Bacterial small subunit ribosomal RNA", at positions 28 to 507 of the family's 1533-position model. The record is from RNAcentral.
GACGAACGCUGGCGGCGUGCUUAGCACAUGCAAGUCGAACGGAAAGGCCCUGCUUUUGUGGGGUGCUCGAGUGGCGAACGGGUGAGUAACACGUGAGUAACCUGCCCUUGACUUUGGGAUAACUUCAGGAAACUGGGGCUAAUACCGGAUAGGAGCUCCUGCUGCAUGGUGGGGGUUGGAAAGUUUCGGCGGUUGGGGAUGGACUCGCGGCUUAUCAGCUUGUUGGUGGAGUAGUGGCUUACCAAGGCUUUGACGGGUAGCCGGCCUGAGAGGGUGACCGGCCACAUUGGGACUGAGAUACGGCCCAGACUCCUACGGGAGGCAGCAGUGGGGAAUAUUGCACAAUGGGCGGAAGCCUGAUGCAGCAACGCCGCGUGCGGGAUGACGGCCUUCGGGUUGUAAACCGCUUUCGCCUGUGACGAAGCGUGAGUGACGGUAAUGGGUAAAGAAGCACCGGCUAACUACGUG